This is a long non-coding RNA of Lethenteron reissneri (Far Eastern brook lamprey), 1646 nucleotides long. RefSeq lists it as uncharacterized. The record is from RefSeq and is a predicted model, not a curated record. NCBI's taxonomy places the organism in Eukaryota, Metazoa, Chordata, Hyperoartia, Petromyzontiformes, Petromyzontidae.
UGCAAGUGUGCUUGUUAUGUAUGCAUGUACGUGUGCGUUGGCUGGGUCAUGGUGCCCGCAUGCCAAGCCACCGCAUGCUUUAGCCACACCGCAUGCCCAAUCAGCUCUUAUUUGCCCGCAUAGAGGCGGUCUAAACGGUCUCGGCACGGCCUCGAGAAGAGGUUUGGGCUAAUGCGGUGAAAGGAUGAAUUGUAGCCAAGUGGCCUUGCCGAUGACUGUUAUACCAGCGGUGUGAAGAUCGGCCUCUGCGGAGGAGACUCGUGAAUGACGCUACUGAGCAGUUGGGGGCAGUCAGCCGACAGCAACAACGGGCGGCGCAGGAGAGACGCUCACAACAACGAGCGGAGCGCCGGGCGGCUACAACUAAAAUGAGGAGCGCAAAGUGUCAAGCCAUGGCACCUGCCAGCGGUGAGCCUUCCCACACUUCACGUGGCCUCAAGGUGCACCUAGCCUGGCACCAUCGCCGUGCUGACGUCACACGUGGGACUACGAAUGAGCACGUGCAGCCACUGCAGCGCUGCGUAAGAACGAAGUUGCAUUUACGAAGGCAGAGCUAUAGGAGGACCGUUCCCCGAAACGUCGCGAAUUAUCAACGAUGCAUUUGUGUUGUCCAGCGCAAGGGACGUCGUGGUUGUUGACAGCAGCCGACUUCGCUGUCGCGAUCUUGCUGAUGCUCCAACGAUCGCUUUCCAUUCAAAGCUUCUCAACAAAGUCGCUGCAGCCCGAGUGGAUCGAUGCUUCUUCGUGUGGACACAUCGUCAGCUUCCUCGUCUCGUUGGCGUUGUUUUGUUUUUCGUCGUCGUCGUCUAAGCGUUUCAAAAUGCUGUCGGUUCAAUGUAUUUACAAAACGAGCGGACCGCGCUAAUUCAAUGGGGGUCUGCAUUCGAUGCGUAACCAGCACUCAACCGGACCCUGUAAUUAGCCAAAUGGAAUCAAUGACAGCUUAAUUGCUGGUCAGAAUAUAUGCAGAUGUAUGCUAUAUAACUAUAUAUAUAUACUUAUACGAGCAUAUAGUUAUAUAUAUAUAUACACGUAGACAUGUGCAUUACGAUAAGUGCAUCUAGUUAUAUAUGUAACUGCAAAUUACAUUUACAAUGUAGAGAAUAACCAGCGUUUGUAAACAUGCUGUAUGUAUAUUUAGUGAAAUUGCUACAUUGCUAACGAUGGAUGGAAGUACAUGCACAUAAAAUUAGCACGGAUUAUAAAUCAUCAGCGUUUUGUAUCCAUAACCAUGAGCGAGGAUUGUGAUGUUCACGGCGGUGGCGGUACUAAUGUCAUGAUGAACUCCGAGCAGAUUGCGAUUUUAAUUACUUAUUGCUGUUGUAUUGCCCCAAAAGUCUGCCAAGGCAAUACGGGUGAUCUUUGUCUUUGUAGUGGCGAUGAUGAUGCUGUUACUGAUAUGAUUAAUUAUAAAAACGUUACCGGUACGGGUCGUCGUGAUGAGUCAAUGAUGCGAUCAUAACAGCGCUAUUGAGAUUAUGGUAAUGGCGAUAUUAUUGUUAAUGAAAACAGCUGAAGAAUGCUCGAUAACAGUAAUUAUAAAAUACAAUCUUACCUCGUCAAAAGGUGCGUGUCGCACGAAGUCAUUACGUCCUGUGAACGGAAUGGGUAUCGAGGGAACUCCGUGUGGUUUCGGAUCUACCGGA